CAGGAAGGAGGAAGGAAUUCUUCUUUCCAUGACGUCACGAGUCAAGAACUGGCUCAGAUUGAGAAGAAUGCAAGUCCUAACCAAGUGAUUGGUCAACUCCGAGACCGACUCCAAGGGCUCCAGAAACGUCGAGAGACUUCUCCUGUGUCCAAGUGUGAACUAUGUCAGG
Long non-coding RNA from Limulus polyphemus (Atlantic horseshoe crab), 169 nucleotides. RefSeq lists it as uncharacterized. The record is from RefSeq and is a predicted model, not a curated record. Lineage: Eukaryota; Metazoa; Arthropoda; Merostomata; Xiphosura; Limulidae. The transcript has 3 exons.